RNAcentral lists this ribosomal RNA (314 nucleotides) under uncultured eukaryote. RNAcentral's name for it is "partial 18S ribosomal RNA". It matches the Rfam family "Eukaryotic small subunit ribosomal RNA", at positions 1470 to 1796 of the family's 1831-position model. The record is from RNAcentral.
CCCUUAGAUGUCCUGGGCCGCACGCGUGCUACACUGACACUUACACCGAGUUUUUCCAAUGCCGAAAGGCCAUUGGUAAUCAGCAAUAAGUGUCGUGAUGGGGAUAGAUCUUUGGAAUUAUUGAUCUUGAACGAGGAAUGCCUAGUAAUCGUAGGUCAUCAGCCUGCGAUGAUUACGUCCCUGCCCUUUGUACACACCGCCCGUCGCACCUACCGAUUGAAUGGUCCGGUGAAGCCUCCGGAUUGCACAGGCCCCGUGUCUGGCGCGAGAAGUUGGCUAAACCUUACCAUUUAGAGGAAGGUGAAGUCGUAACA